GGAAGUUCAUCUGGUAGGAUGUACUUUGUAAGAAAUCGUGCAAAGUACACAAUAACAAGUGAAUAGAAAAGUCAGAUGAUGAAUCGUAGUAGAAAAGACGGGGGUUCGAAUCCCUCCUUCUCCGCCA
RNAcentral lists this transfer RNA (127 nucleotides) under Pelagicoccus mobilis. RNAcentral describes it as "tRNA-OTHER". Lineage: Bacteria; Pseudomonadati; Verrucomicrobiota; Opitutia; Puniceicoccales; Pelagicoccaceae. The record is from RNAcentral.